Molecule: ribosomal RNA, 1041 nt
Filed under: Bacillus safensis
Lineage: Bacteria; Bacillati; Bacillota; Bacilli; Caryophanales; Bacillaceae
Description: bacterial SSU rRNA
Rfam family: Bacterial small subunit ribosomal RNA
Source: RNAcentral
CGGGUGCUAUACAUGCAAGUCGAGCGGACAGAAGGGAGCUUGCUCCCGGAUGUUAGCGGCGGACGGGUGAGUAACACGUGGGUAACCUGCCUGUAAGACUGGGAUAACUCCGGGAAACCGGAGCUAAUACCGGAUAGUUCCUUGAACCGCAUGGUUCAAGGAUGAAAGACGGUUUCGGCUGUCACUUACAGAUGGACCCGCGGCGCAUUAGCUAGUUGGUGAGGUAACGGCUCACCAAGGCGACGAUGCGUAGCCGACCUGAGAGGGUGAUCGGCCACACUGGGACUGAGACACGGCCCAGACUCCUACGGGAGGCAGCAGUAGGGAAUCUUCCGCAAUGGACGAAAGUCUGACGGAGCAACGCCGCGUGAGUGAUGAAGGUUUUCGGAUCGUAAAGCUCUGUUGUUAGGGAAGAACAAGUGCAAGAGUAACUGCUUGCACCUUGACGGUACCUAACCAGAAAGCCACGGCUAACUACGUGCCAGCAGCCGCGGUAAUACGUAGGUGGCAAGCGUUGUCCGGAAUUAUUGGGCGUAAAGGGCUCGCAGGCGGUUUCUUAAGUCUGAUGUGAAAGCCCCCGGCUCAACCGGGGAGGGUCAUUGGAAACUGGGAAACUUGAGUGCAGAAGAGGAGAGUGGAAUUCCACGUGUAGCGGUGAAAUGCGUAGAGAUGUGGAGGAACACCAGUGGCGAAGGCGACUCUCUGGUCUGUAACUGACGCUGAGGAGCGAAAGCGUGGGGAGCGAACAGGAUUAGAUACCCUGGUAGUCCACGCCGUAAACGAUGAGUGCUAAGUGUUAGGGGGUUUCCGCCCCUUAGUGCUGCAGCUAACGCAUUAAGCACUCCGCCUGGGGAGUACGGUCGCAAGACUGAAACUCAAAGGAAUUGACGGGGGCCCGCACAAGCGGUGGAGCAUGUGGUUUAAUUCGAAGCAACGCGAAGAACCUUACCAGGUCUUGACAUCCUCUGACAACCCUAGAGAUAGGGCUUUCCCUUCGGGGACAGAGUGACAGUGGUGCAUGGGUUGUCGUCAGCUCGUGUC